AGAUAAGAUCGAUCGAUCGCGGAGCGAGAGAGAGAGAAAAAAAAUCUUCUCGUCGGUAGGGUUUCGGGGGCUGCGAUGGCGAUGGAGGCGCGGAUGAAGGGGACGGUCAAGUGGUUCAACGACACCAAGGGGUUCGGCUUCAUCUCCCCCGACGACGGCAGCGAGGACCUCUUCGUGCACCAGUCCUCCAUCAAGGCCGACGGCUUCCGCUCGCUGGCCGAGGGCGAGGUGGUCGAGUUCGCCGUCUCGGAGGGCGACGACGGCCGCACCAAGGCCGUCGACGUCACCGGCCCCGACGGAUCCUUCGUGCAGGGCGGCGCGGGCGGCGGCGGGGGCGGCUUCGGAUCCCGCGGCGGCGGCGGAUCUCGCGGCGGCGGGGGCUUCGGCGGCCGCGGCGGGGACGGAUCUGGCGGGUACGGAGGUGGGUAUGGCGGUGGUGGCAGCGGCGGCUGGGGCGGCCAGAGGAGAUCCGGCGGUGGAGGCGCCGGUGGGGCCUGCUUCAAGUGCGGGGAGCCUGGCCACAUGGCCAGGGACUGCUCGGUCAACGGCCCCGCUGGUGGCGGCGGCGGCGGCGGCUGCUACAACUGCGGCGAGCCGGGCCACAUCGCGAGGGACUGCCCCACCAGCAGCGGCUUUGGCGGGGGCGGCGGCGGGAGGUUCGGCGGAGGAGGCGGCGGCGGCGGCGACCGCACCUGCUACCACUGCGGCGAGACCGGCCACAUCUCCCGCGACUGCACCAAGUGAGGGGAUAUCUCUGCCCCUCCCCCUCUAUAGAUUGCGCCUAAAUACCUCUCGUCUUAGUUUUGCCGAUCGAUCGAUCUGGGCCUGAGCGCCCAGCCGCAGCCGCCUCGCUUAUUUUAUCUUCCUCCCCCCUUCCGUUCUCGGAAUCCGUCCUAGGGGAAAGUCAGUCAGUCAGUCAGUCCGUGUGAUGGUUAAUUUUGCUAUGAAUUGGUCCUCUGGUACCCGUACCCGUACUCUCAGUUGAUGUCUAAGGUCGUGAUGAUGAUGGAUUAUUGGUGAUUUUUGUGUGGUGAUGAUGAGGAGAUUGCAACACAUCUCUGUUUUUUGGUUUCAUCGAUGAAGUAAAAGAUGCCGGUCGUUAUUAUCAUCCUCCAUGAGUGAAUGAAUGAAUUCUCUCUUGUCAGAUCAGAUCUCUG
Molecule: ribosomal RNA, 1157 nt
Filed under: Triticum aestivum (bread wheat)
Lineage: Eukaryota; Viridiplantae; Streptophyta; Magnoliopsida; Poales; Poaceae
Description: partial small subunit ribosomal RNA
Source: RNAcentral